This 403-nucleotide unclassified non-coding RNA is filed under the name Tragia biflora. Its description in RNAcentral is "partial external transcribed spacer". The record is from RNAcentral. Lineage: Eukaryota; Viridiplantae; Streptophyta; Magnoliopsida; Malpighiales; Euphorbiaceae.
CAUGCUUGUGCAUCGAACUGUCGAAUGGCGAUCUCAUCAAUCCAAAGCUCAUAUGCGUGCUUUCGCAUUAUGUGCAAAGUUUGAGUUCCUGUGUUGCAUACCCACGGAAGUGGAAAUCGAUUGCGUUGUGAUUCGACUUUCACCUCAUGCCUGUUAAGGGCAUGAGAUGAACUUGUAAGCAUCUCUUGUGUUCCAAAAUCGUUGAUUCAACUGUUCUGGUGCAUUAGAAGGUCGCUCGUGAUUUGGGAUGCGGAAAUCCUUUUGUGGCCGAGGGAUCGGAUCCCUCAAUCGCUCGAAAUGUCCCUAUUUACAAACGACAUGCAGCCCUUGUUUUUGGUCCUUGGCAAGCCACGAUGUUGGUGUGCUGGGGAUCGGUGCGGGUGCUGAUGCCGUGAAGGAAUGC